GCACUGCUGACGAGUCCCAAACACAACGAAACAGCUGUCCAGUAA
This 45-nucleotide non-coding RNA is filed under the name Echinostoma caproni. The record is from RNAcentral. Lineage: Eukaryota; Metazoa; Platyhelminthes; Trematoda; Plagiorchiida; Echinostomatidae.